UGGAACUUAGCUGAUUGGGCCAUUUCUUGUGCCCCAAUUAGUUCUCUUAAAUAUAUUAUUAUUUUACCUAUAAAAAAAAGUACAUGACGACGUAUAUAUUAUCAUCCUAGUACUGACACAGACAUAUAAAAGUAAUUUUUUUUAUCAUUCGUAAGAAAUAACUGAAUUAACAUCUCCAAUAUUAAUUUCAGCAACAGAGCAGUUCUGUUGGUAAUUAUUUCCCGGCCCCUUGGUGUGGUUAAUGAUUUUCAUGGUCUUUUUCGAUAUCCUCCACCACCAGGAUAUUUUUUAUAUAUUGAUCCACCUUCAGCAUAUCCAUAUCCUCUGCCACUAGGAUAUUGGAAAAGUUUUCGCCCUGCACCGUAUAAAUUAAUUAAAGGUCAAUAAAAUAAUUAACAAUUGAGAAAAUAAAUAAGGAAUGAAUAACUAGGAUAUUGUAAAACUAAUUAUAUAUAACGUACCGAGUGGUUGGGCAGCACUUCCCAGCGUGGAGGACAUAAGCAGUAAAAGUAUUGCUAAAAGAACAGCAAAUGACAUCAAUUUGGAGGCACGUAGGAGGAUGGCCAUUUCUAACAAUACAAAAUCCUUUUUUGAUGAUUAACAAUACAAAAUCUAUAUAUGAUAUAUGUAGCUAA
RNAcentral lists this long non-coding RNA (635 nucleotides) under Glycine max (soybean). Its description in RNAcentral is "long non-coding RNA (GMAX_LNC000905)". The record is from RNAcentral. Lineage: Eukaryota; Viridiplantae; Streptophyta; Magnoliopsida; Fabales; Fabaceae.